Long non-coding RNA from Heterocephalus glaber (naked mole-rat), 1565 nucleotides. RefSeq lists it as uncharacterized. NCBI's taxonomy places the organism in Eukaryota, Metazoa, Chordata, Mammalia, Rodentia, Bathyergidae. The record is from RefSeq and is a predicted model, not a curated record.
CAUGAUGGUCAGCCAAGGAGGUACAUGUGAGCACCGGUGGUUGAUGUGCAAGGAAGGAUGGGCUCCUCAGAAAAUAUGAUUCUCCUCAUGUGGAUUCCCCUGCCUACAGAUAAGAGCCUGGCCUGGUGUCAUGGAAGAGAACUCAUUGAUAUGUGGCAGCCAAACGAUGGCUAGCGGAAUCUUGCUCAUCGACAGGCGACAGACGGUGGACCACACCUUACUGCCCAGCAUGUCAUUGGCCUCAUCCAGAACAGUAAGUGAGGCCAGCGUCCCAGACCCGAGGACUUCUGACCAAGCUUGGCUUGCAGAUGCUCAGCUGGGAAAUGAUGGAUCGCUCAGCCGUUCCCAGGACUCUGAGUGGACAGCCGGGACUUGAUCAGAGAAGACAUAUGUGGCAACUGGGUGGGGGAUUCCCCAUACCUAGGUCUUCAUUUUGGGUUUGUCCCAUGUAUCUCAGUGUGUGUGGCCACAUUGCUUUUUGUGAAGAUUAUGUUAAGCAUUGUCUUUUCUUCUGGGCUCUAUGACAGGUACAUAGUUCAAGCCGGAUUGUCUCUGCAGUACCACUGUUAAGCAUCAUUUUUUACUCCGUCACUCCUGACCUGUAGUGUUCAUUUACUCCUUUCAGUUGUCAAAGCACCAGCUUGGACUCAUGUUAUUUCUAGUUUUUCUGCCUGGUAUAGCACCCAAGUAGGAUUUGCACGUCUCUGUGCCAGAAAAUAAGCGUUGUCUUUCAAGACUUUGCCCUGGAUGUCUUGAGGCAUCCAGGUACGUGGACCAUGAAGUAAUAGUUGCUCAGAUAUGCAAUACAAGGAGACAUAAGCCAGAUUGGUUUUCCAUGAUGUGCACUGCUGUGAUGGGCCAUGAGAUGGCCUUGAGCCUCGAAGGGCCCUCAAGGUUCACCCUAGUGAUCCUCAGGAAAGUGCAGAUGUGGGUCCAUCUCACAGCACAGGAUAUGCAAUCUUUAUAUUCAAUGUUCAAGGAUGAUGGUGUCCCUGACCCGUACAGGCACCAACUUCUGUUCCAGAGGGACAUAUGAGAAAUGACAGAGCUAUAGCAAUUCAAGUGUGCAUGAUUUUACAGUGAUUUCCUGGCAGUGAAAACAUAUGUGGAAUCUGUGAAUACUUGGGCAUUGAUUGUGUGUCCUGAUUCAGUAUCAUCAUUGUGGUCUUUCCAAUUUAAUGGUAAGCAAGCAUGGGGUAUUAUACAAGUGGGUAUUAUAUAAAGUAUGGGCUAUUUGGACAAUAUUCUUAGCUUAAUUUUAAUUAACAUUUCCCGAUACAGUUGGAGCAUCUUUUAACAGUAUGUGUGAUAAACUGGAAUAUCCAAGCAUAUUGGUGGUUUAAGCUGUAUCCUUAUAUCUAUCUUUUCACAUUCUCUUUUCAGUUUCUUCUAAUAGAACUCUCUUGUCCAGGAAAGAUUUGUUUUGAAAUUUGCUAGUAACUGUGUUCAUGAUAAUGGGAUCAUUCCUUGUUGCAUCCCAUAUGAUCUCAAGUUUUGGUAAAUGAGUAUUGGGUCUCUCAACACCUGAGGCCAUUCAUUUUUUUGCACAAUGUAUUCUUCCAUCU